Molecule: RNase P RNA, 357 nt
Filed under: Desulfobacterales bacterium GWB2_56_26
Lineage: Bacteria; Pseudomonadati; Thermodesulfobacteriota; Desulfobacteria; Desulfobacterales
Description: RNase P RNA component class A
Rfam family: Bacterial RNase P class A
About the family: Ribonuclease P (RNase P) is a ubiquitous endoribonuclease, found in archaea, bacteria and eukarya as well as chloroplasts and mitochondria. Its best characterised activity is the generation of mature 5'-ends of tRNAs by cleaving the 5'-leader elements of precursor-tRNAs.
Source: RNAcentral
CGGAGCGGGCGCAUGAUCGCUCCGGUUUUUUUGCCGGAGAGGAAAGUCCGAACUCUACAGGGCAGGGUGGUUCGUAACGCGAACGCCGGGCGACCGGGGGAAAGUGCCACAGAAAACAAACCGCCUGAUUCUCAUCAGGUAAGGGUGAAACGGCGAGGUAAGAGCUCACCGCUUUCAUGGCGACAUGAAAGGCACGGCAAACCCCACCCAGAGCAAGACCAAAUAGGGAGAUGUUUGAGGGCGGCCCGUCCGAGAUCUCCGGGUAGGUUGCAAGAGGUGUUGAGCGAUCAACAUCCCAGUCAAAUGAUCAUGGCCCCUUAGGGGGUACAGAAUUCGGCUUAUAACCCGCUCCGUUUU